RNA transcript from Ipomoea triloba (trilobed morning glory), 1117 nucleotides. It is a transcript of the gene named PH domain-containing protein YHR131C-like, with no coding region annotated. The transcript has 3 exons. The record is from RefSeq and is a predicted model, not a curated record. NCBI's taxonomy places the organism in Eukaryota, Viridiplantae, Streptophyta, Magnoliopsida, Solanales, Convolvulaceae.
GCCCAUCCACAGAUCCACUGAUACACAAAUCCACAAUCCGCAAGUCCAAAAUCCAAAUCCCUAGUUCCCCCUACCCAUUUGUUUUCCCUGCAACGAUGACGAGGAAGACGGCGGCGUCAAUAAGGUGAUGAGGAAGACCGGCGAUGGCGAAGAAGGUGAUGAAGACGGGACCAGCGAUGGCGAAGAAGGUGAUGAAGACGGCUUUUUAGUGAAGAUCGAAGAUGAGGAAGAUGGUGACGGCGAUGAAGAUGAGGAAGACGACAACAACGAUGGCGAUGAAGAUAACAGGGAUGGUGAAGAAGACGACGAUGGACAAGAAUACGACUUGCAGGGAUAAUGGCAGCCUAAAGGAGGCAUCAAGCCCCCUUAUAUAAUGCAAAGAACCACCCAGAUGCUUUGCCUUCAAUCUUGACGAUACAUGUGUUUCACACUGCUUUGGUGCCAGCGCUCUUCACAUAGAUAAAUAAAGUAUCUUGCCUUUUGGUAUAUGAGAUGGAUAUUGGGUAUGAGUUGUGACUCAUUGGGCUCGUGUUAUUGGGUCGGGGUGCGGGAGUACAAGUAGAAACCCGAGGGGGGCCGCUGGCCUGGUGACUGGCCGCCGCCCACGCCCGACCGAGGCGCGGCCAGCGCACUCGGGGCAUAGUCUCGUCAUGGCCUGGCGCCCCCUCGCGCCAAUGGUUGCAGGUGCGACGGUGUGCAGGGGGCUGGUGCGGCAUGGGGCGGCAUGUGUGAUGGUGGUGCAGGGUGUGGAGACGUGGACCAUGUGGCAAGAGGUGAUGGAGUAGGGCCGUGGAGCGUACACGUGGACGACUUAGGGAGAGAAGGGACUACUAUAUAUAAGAGGCAUGGCUUCUCAUCAAGACAUCAUCUGAACACUAUAAGCACUAUAGCCUAGUGGUCCUUAGUUCUUACUUUCAACCCAUCUGUCUGGGUUCGAGAUUCCUGCUUUCAGUAUAGCUUAUCGCUUGGGCCUUAGUCCUGGGUCCUUUUUCCUGUUGGGCUCAUCAACCCCAUUAUGUACCUCUAUACUCGGUACCAAUAAAACCAUCAGUGGUGAUCUUGAUGUAUAUUGAUGGAAUUUUUUUUUACAUAAAUAGUGCUCAUAAGGUUAUUAUUA